CGAAAUGCGAUAAGUAAUGUGAAUUGCAGAAUUCAGUGAAUCAUCGAAUCUUUGAACGCACCUUGCGCUCCUUGGUAUUCCUUGGAGCAUGCCUGUUUGAGUAUCAUGAAAUCUUCAAAGUAAAUCUUUUGUUAACUCAAUUGGUUUCUACUUUGGUAUUGGAGGUCUUUGCAGCUUCACACCUGCUCCUCUUUGUUCAUUAGCUGGAUCUCAGUGUUAUGCUUGGUUCCACUCGGCGUGAUAAGUUAUCUAUCGCUGAGGACACUGUAAAAGGUGGCCAAGGUAAAUGCAGAUGAACCGCUUCUAAUAGUCCAUUGACUUGGACAAUACUUUUAUGAUCUGAUCUCAAAUCGGGUAGGACUACCCGCUGAACUUAAGC
RNAcentral lists this unclassified non-coding RNA (379 nucleotides) under plant metagenome. RNAcentral describes it as "partial contains 5.8S ribosomal RNA, internal transcribed spacer 2, and large subunit ribosomal RNA". The stretch from base 1 to 106 matches the Rfam family "5.8S ribosomal RNA", at positions 49 to 154 of the family's 154-position model. The record is from RNAcentral.